RNAcentral lists this ribosomal RNA (400 nucleotides) under uncultured Geobacteraceae bacterium. RNAcentral describes it as "bacterial SSU rRNA". It matches the Rfam family "Bacterial small subunit ribosomal RNA", at positions 1 to 387 of the family's 1533-position model. The record is from RNAcentral. Lineage: Bacteria; Pseudomonadati; Thermodesulfobacteriota; Desulfuromonadia; Geobacterales; Geobacteraceae.
CWUAGAGUYUGAUCCUGGCUCAKAACRAAYGCUGGCGGCGUGCUUAACACAUGCAAGUCGAACGAGAAAGUUUMCUUCGGGAAGCGAGUAGAGUGGCGCACGGGUGAGUAACACGUGGAUAAUCUGCCUGAUGAACCGGGAUAACACUUCGAAAGAGGUGCUAAUACCGGAUAAGCCCACAGCAUCUGCGGAUGCAGCGGGAAAAGGGGGCCUCUUCCUGAAAGCUUCUGUCAUCAGAUGAGUCCGCGGUCCAUUAGCUAGUUGGUAGGGUAAAGGCCUACCAAGGCGACGAUGGAUAGCUGGUUUGAGAGAAUGAUCASCCACACUGGAACUGAGACACGGUCCAGACUCCUACGGGAGGCAGCAGUGGGGAAUCUUGCGCAAUGGGGGCAACCCUGAC